RNAcentral lists this unclassified non-coding RNA (350 nucleotides) under soil metagenome. Its description in RNAcentral is "partial contains 5.8S ribosomal RNA, internal transcribed spacer 2, and large subunit ribosomal RNA". The stretch from base 1 to 120 matches the Rfam family "5.8S ribosomal RNA", at positions 35 to 154 of the family's 154-position model. The record is from RNAcentral.
GAUGAAGAACGUAGCGAAAUGCGAUAAGUAAUGUGAAUUGCAGAAUUCAGUGAAUCAUCGAAUCUUUGAACGCACAUUGCGCCCGCCAGUAUUCUGGCGGGCAUGCCUGUUCGAGCGUCAUUACAACCCUCAGGCCCCCGGGCCUGGCGUUGGGGAUCGGCGGAGCCCCCCGUGGGCACACGCCGUCCCCCAAAUGCAGUGGCGGUCCCGCCGCAGCUUCCAUCGCGUAGUAGCUAACACCUCGCGACUGGAGAGCGGCGCGGCCACGCCGUAAAACACCCAACUCUUCUGAAGUUGACCUCGAAUCAGGUAGGAAUACCCGCUGAACUUAAGCAUAUCAAUAAGCGGAG